GAUGAACGCUGGCGGCGUGUCUAACACAUGCAAGUCGAACGGACAUUUUUUGGAAAGCUCUUCGGAACUGGAAUCUAAAUGUUAGUGGCGGACGGGUGAGUAACGCGUGAGCAAUCUGCCUUUCAGAGGGGGAUAACAGCCGGAAACGGCUGCUAAUACCGCAUAAUGCAUUGGAUUCGCAUGUUUCUGAUGCCAAAGAUUUUAUCGCUGAAAGAUGAGCUCGCGUCUGAUUAGCUAGUUGGCGGGGUAACGGCCCACCAAGGCGACGAUCAGUAGCCGGACUGAGAGGUUGAACGGCCACAUUGGGACUGAGACACGGCCCAGACUCCUACGGGAGGCAGCAGUGGGGAAUAUUGCACAAUGGGGGAAACCCUGAUGCAGCGACGCCGCGUGGAGGAAGAAGGUCUUCGGAUUGUAAACUCCUGUUGUUGAGGAAGAUAAUGACGGUACUCAACAAGGAAGUGACGGCUAACUACGUGCCAGCAGCCGCGGUAAAACGUAGGUCACAAGCGUUGUCCGGAAUUACUGGGUGUAAAGGGAGCGCAGGCGGGAAAGCAAGUUGGAAGUGAAAUCCAUGGGCUCAACCCAUGAACUGCUUUCAAAACUGUUUUUCUUGAGUAGUGCAGAGGUAGGCGGAAUUCCCGGUGUAGCGGUGGAAUGCGUAGAUAUCGGGAGGAACACCAGUGGCGAAAGCGGCCUACUGGGCACCAACUGACGCUGAGGCUCGAAAGUGUGNGUAGCANACAGG
Molecule: ribosomal RNA, 748 nt
Filed under: uncultured bacterium
Lineage: Bacteria
Description: bacterial SSU rRNA
Rfam family: Bacterial small subunit ribosomal RNA
Source: RNAcentral